This is a long non-coding RNA of Columba livia (rock pigeon), 3048 nucleotides long. RefSeq lists it as uncharacterized. The record is from RefSeq and is a predicted model, not a curated record. The transcript is spliced from 3 exons. NCBI's taxonomy places the organism in Eukaryota, Metazoa, Chordata, Aves, Columbiformes, Columbidae.
UACUCCAAGAAAGAGAAUGAAGCAUAGGGACAUAAUAAAUCUUGUUAGUAUUUAGCUUUCAAAAGGGUCUGGAAGGCUGCCUGGUGACAUGGAUUCCUUCUAGGUUUAACGCAGGUUCGAUUAGCCAGGAAAUCAUUGUCGUUUUCUAGGGAGCCAGACCACAGAUCCACAAAAUCCACAGAAGACGAGAGCAGGCAGCACGGCUCUUGUCCGCGGGUUUCUGGGGGAAGCGCUGCAGUCGGCCCCGGGACGCCCAGGCUCAGCGGUCGGUGCCCCGAGCAAGGCUGCGCCUAUGGAAAGCGGGUAAAUCCUCAGCAGGACCAGAUGAAAAAGACCUUCAGGUCCCUGACUUAACUUCCUACAGACCUAAAUCUGCUCUCGGAUCAUGAUGCACUUCAGUGCCUCAUCUGACAAGUUUGGUUGCAGCCAAGCAAAGACAAAUGAUGCAGAAGUGAUACCAGCACGUUCCCUGCACAUACAGAAGGUACCACCCAACCUGGAGACACCCAAAUCUCUCCCCGCGGUGCGGACCUGAGUCUCCGCUGUCCUGGGAGCACGUUUUACCAUCUCACCUGGCUGCGACUUCUCGGAAACAGAAGUGGAUAAUGAGACUGUUCCCAUCUCUACUGCACCGAGCAGUGCGGGCCAGAGGGCUGCACAGGGGGGAACGUGUGACAUUACAGUUGUCACCUCUUCUUGCCAGCGCAAAGGCGACAAAUAGAUCAGAUCCUUUAUUCCCCCUUUUGACCACAUUUGAUUUAUUUUUUUCCAAAUAGCAAAUACAACAUGUCCACGUUUUGUUUACAGAGAGUGGAGACUGCACGCCAGAUUUCAGUUGUGAAAAGUGGCUCAGAUGUUAUUAGUACUUGACUACAAGUUUACAACUGGUCCCCAAACCUCCUCAAAGCUUCAGGAACUUGUAUCGUUAAUGCAAAACUGAUAAGUGAAAUGACAAAUUAGGUCCUAACACAUUUUUAAGCUCCACAUUUGAACUUUUAUUAUUGUCACAAUCACUGUGUAUAUAGACUUAAGAAUUCUUUUCUUCAAAUCCUCUGAUCUACCAAGUUCUUAAACAAAUAUAUUAAUCUCAAAUCCUCUUGCUUUCUAAAUGCCAUUUCAGGUAGAAGAAAAUAAUUUGAAAAGUGAAUCAGAAAAGAAAGACCACAAGCUCUGAGGAAGAAGCAUAGCACUAUUAUUUUAUAUAUGUAUGUAUGUAUAUCUUUUUAAGCUAAACCUGAAGUAGACUAGCUUAGGCCACUUCAGGAUGACAUCAAAACCAACAGUGAUCAGAAUUUGGUUGAAACGUCUCCAUUAUGGCCAAGCUCCAUUAGUUCUGCUGAACAGCGACUUACAUCAUGGAGGGAGGUAAUUUACAAUUUAUAACCAUCAUAGUUUGUAGUGCACAAGUGACCACAUGGCCAUUCCUUCAAAACACCAAGAUAAAUCACGAGAAAAAUCAAAGGCGUGUUUAAGGUUUGAUGACAAAUGACUACUAGCAAACAUUUACUGCAAUAAAUUGUUGUUAAAAACAGAGAUUAUGGAAAAAUGCUUAACAAAGGUGAUUUUUCCAUUGCUUCUCUUAAGUGCAUGGACCACCAAGCUUCAUUUAAUCCUUUCUAAUUCUGAGCAAUAUAAUUAUGGCAAAUAAUGGUGAAUGAAUCACAUGCCUGUACAGGAGUACCACAGCCAUUGUGGCAUUCAGAUGAAUGCUGUGUCAGAGGAUUAAUGCGGCAUAAUGCCGCAUUUGCUUUUGCAGCCUGUUAUUUUAAUCUUGUGAGCUGCCUUUCAUCAAGGUGGGGGAAUACAGUAAGGUUACUGUUGGUCUCAGGCAUCCGCAGAGGAUGCUGUGUGACAUCCACGUCCUUCAGUCCUACAGGCGACUUCUGGCACCUUCCAAAAGUCUUGUUCUGUGCAUUAAUGGAAGGAGAGAGAACUCGCCUGUGCUAGGGAAAAGUUGGCAGAUGAAGGAACAGCACAAGAGAGGCCACUGUGCCAACGAGUUACUUAGUUCUGAGUAUGUGCACCCAAGAAUUCACAGGGUCCUGAAACUGCAGAGGCAGCAAAUCACUGACCCGUCCCUGCAGCUCGGGCAGCAGAGACCCAGCAAUGGCCAGAUCUGGUCUACAAAGCAGAAACAAGCCUUCUAGCACUGUCUUGCCUUGACAGAGCUCCAUCCUCCAUCCACUCUCUGGGCUGAGGCCUCCAGCACCACGCUGACCAGCACGAACUUCAACAUGGAGCAGCCUGGUCCCCAUCAGCACAGACUCUUCUUGCCAAACAACGGGAGCAUUUCGAAGUGCGAGAAUUGUGCAUUUAGUUAUUCUUCCUAUUAAAUGCCCACCUGUGUACUCCCCACUCACCACCUCUGCAGAAAGAAAAGCAGCAUGGGACUGUGAACAUUGUUCAGAAGCAAAUACUACUUCCCCAAGCCACCGCCCAAUACACAAAAGGAAUUCAGAACACACAGCAGAUCAGAAAAAUUCUAUUAAAUUCUUCCCAUUAUAUUUUCUAAAACAAGAUGGAGCAGUGCCAAAAUACCUAAACAAAGCACUUUUUUUCAUGCGAUUUCCAUCCCACUGAGAAGUAAUAAGUCCUGGAGAUCCUAUAAAGAAACCUGUUCUUGAACAAUUUACUGCCCAGAUUUAUAGGUCCAAGAAACGAGGAUGGUUCAGAUUAGCUUCAUCUGUUCUCAGGAGUUCUUCUCCAAACGAAGCCCGAGCCAGAUUUUUUUCCCCAGUUAGCUGCUCUUUUCCACUGGUUGGGUUGUGUGAAGGUGAUGGAAAGUGGCCACAACUGCAUCUUGGAGAAUCCCCCCAACUAUGAAGAAGUCUCCAACUGCUUUGAAUCACUGGGAUCUCUUCUCCCACUUCAACGGCAGAGGAAGGACACGAAGCACCCCAGAGAGCUCUGCUAAACCACUUCAUGGCCGGCGCCCAGGGCCUGACCCGCUCCAGUCGCUCUGGGGUCAGCGCUACGGAGCCCGCACAUCUGAGAGCAUCAUCCGGUGGUGAACGCGCAGCAGGAGCUGAGGGGUUUGGGUGGGUGGGG